RNAcentral lists this RNase P RNA (342 nucleotides) under Kiritimatiellaceae bacterium. RNAcentral describes it as "RNase P RNA component class A". It matches the Rfam family "Bacterial RNase P class A". From Rfam's summary of the family: Ribonuclease P (RNase P) is a ubiquitous endoribonuclease, found in archaea, bacteria and eukarya as well as chloroplasts and mitochondria. Its best characterised activity is the generation of mature 5'-ends of tRNAs by cleaving the 5'-leader elements of precursor-tRNAs. The record is from RNAcentral. Lineage: Bacteria; Pseudomonadati; Kiritimatiellota; Kiritimatiellia; Kiritimatiellales; Kiritimatiellaceae.
CAGACAGGGUGUAUCGGUCGCAUCUCAUUGAGAUGAGGAAAGUCCGGACUCCAUAGGGUAGAACGUUCCGGGGUUAACCCGGGAAUCCGUAUGCGAUAUCGUACGGAAUGGAAAGUGCCACAGAAAAUAAACCACUUCGGCUUGCCGGAGAAAGGGUGAAAAGGUGGGGUAAGAGCCCACCGCCCCAAGGGUAACCACGGGGGCAGGGUAAACCCCGUUCGGAGCAAGAUCAAAUAGGGAGCAGAGAAGUUACCCGCUUCGUUUAAGCUUCGGGUUGAUCGCGUAGAUAAAUGACUGACCGUUUUAACGGAACAGAAUCCGGCUUACCGCCCUGUCUGCUCU